CCUACGGGAGGCAGCAGUGGGGAAUAUUGGACAAUGGGGGAAACCCUGAUCCAGCGACGCCGCGUGAGUGAAGAAGGAAUUCGUUACGUAAAGCUCUAUCAGCAGGGAAGAAAAUGACGGUACCUGAGUAAGACGCACCGGCUAACGACGUACCAGAAGCCGCGGUAAUACGCAGGGGGCAAGCGUUAUCCGGAUUUACUGGGUGUAAAGGGAGUGUAGACGGUGCGGCAAGUCUGGAGUGAAAGGCCGGAGCUUAACUGCGGAACUGCUUUGGAAACUGGCGAACUAGAGUGCGGGAGGGGUAAGCGGAAUUCCUAGUGUAGCGGUGAAAUGCGUAGAUAUUAGGAGGAACACCGGUGGCGAAGGCGGCUUACUGGACCGUAACUGACGUUGAGGCUCGAAAGCGUGGGGAGCAAACAGGAUUAGAUACCCUGGUAGUC
This 440-nucleotide ribosomal RNA is filed under the name uncultured bacterium. RNAcentral's name for it is "partial 16S ribosomal RNA". It matches the Rfam family "Bacterial small subunit ribosomal RNA", at positions 338 to 795 of the family's 1533-position model. The record is from RNAcentral.